Cucumis sativus (cucumber) is the source of this 99-nucleotide non-coding RNA. NCBI's taxonomy places the organism in Eukaryota, Viridiplantae, Streptophyta, Magnoliopsida, Cucurbitales, Cucurbitaceae. The record is from Rfam.
GUUCCUGGACAUCUGAUAAAAUUGGAAUGGAAUGGAGAAGAUUAGCAUGACAUCUGUGCAAGGAUGACACACACAAAUCGAGAAAAUGAAAGCAUUGAU